UUUAUCUUAACAUCCAGCCGGGGACAACUUUCCUGUGAUUGUUGGCUUAACAUUGGUGCAUUCAGAUUUUGCAGGGCCUUCACUUCCGGAGUAUACGAGGUCGAUGUCAGCAAGUUCAACUUUUUCGCAUGGGAGGCCAGUACUGCAAGAAAGUUGAACAGCAAUAGGUGUUGUAGUAGUGCCUUUUAUAUUUUUGAAGGUAAUAUCGCUAAUUUUGACUUUUGAUGGUGCGUCCU
RNAcentral lists this long non-coding RNA (236 nucleotides) under Jatropha curcas. RNAcentral describes it as "long non-coding RNA (JCUR_LNC002213)". Lineage: Eukaryota; Viridiplantae; Streptophyta; Magnoliopsida; Malpighiales; Euphorbiaceae. The record is from RNAcentral.